CGCGAACUCGCCCGCGUCGAAGGUGCGCAGCAGCCCCAGGGCCCAAGGGCUCUCGCUGUCGCCCUCCAUCGCUCGCCUCUCGCCUCCAAGCUGAGCCGCCCCAGCCGCGGCCGCUGCCCAGGUGCUCAGGCUCAGCAAUGGGCUCCGAGGCCAGGGAACCAGAUAUACAUCCGGAGGCCUCCAGAGCCAGCCCCCAGCUGCAAUCGGAGAGGGGCCAAAGGUCACCGGACAAAGAUCACGGUCAGGGCUGGGUGGACUGGCCAGGCCCCUCCCUCCUCCAGACUUGGCCAUGUUCCUCACCGGGACCACUCAGCCCACUGUGAAGGACAUCUGGGGAAGAUCUGACCACUUGAAGUGCCCACUGGGAACAGCUGGCUACCCUCCCUGGCCGGGAGGUGAGUGGUGGCGAUGGCAGAUCCCCAUCCCCGGGCUCCGGAGUGACGCAGCUACAAAACACAGAACGCCAGGACUGACAGCAGCGGCCAGAAGCCGGGAGAGGCAGGCAGGGCUCUCCCCUGGAGCCCCCAGAGGGAGCACGGCCCUGCCCACACCUGGAUCUCACACUUCCGGCCUCUAGAGUCGUGGGACAUUCCGCUCUUGUUGGUUUAAGCCACCCAGUUAGUGGCACUUGGCUGCGCAGCCCCGGGAAACUAGUAUACCCCCUGGACCAAUCACUGUCACGGUGGCGAGGACCCUUAUUUUAUCCAAAAGCAGGAGACCGGCUUUCUCCGUGUCCGCUCGGACCACGGGCCUGCUGCCUGCAGCUGACCCAUGCGCUCAUGUGGGGUCUGUGUUGGUUAACUUCACGUGUCACCGCCCGCCUGAUGGCCGUCCCACUGAAACGCUGGCCUCGAGGUCUCUGGUUUGACUUGUCAGCCUCCAAAACCACAUGAGUGAAUUCCUUACAAUAAACAAACAAAUAAGCACACGCACAUCCUAUCGGUUCCGUUUCUCUGGAGAGCCCUGUCUCAUUCAGGGCCUUAACAGCUCCCUGCUUCACCUUAACCCUGUUCUAAAGCAGCCAGUCGUUUUAUUGGCAAAGCUGGUAGACUUGCCUUUUUUGCAGGCUGUCCUGUAGUUUAUAUUACAUUUUGUUUUCUUUUUAAAAAGCCCUUUCGAAGCCACUACAAUGAAGGCUGAUGCUGCUAUUCAAGGCCAGUGAAUGCACAGUUAGGGCAGGAGCCUUGCCCUGUCUGGACAGGUCCUCUGACAACAGCAAGUAGAGAAAUGAGGUUUUCUCUCUCUGCAGCUGAACGGGCUGAAUUAAAAUGAUCUUAAAACAAGGCGUGUGAAGGUCGGUGGGGUGCGUGUGGCGGGCUCAGCUUUCACCGCUUCCUCUUCCCACCCCACCAGACAAGGCCGGCCCCCCUUCCUCCCCUCUCCGUCCCCCCACAGGGCCCCCACCCCCACUCAGGGCUGGGCAUCUUGCCUGCCUGUUGCUCUGCCAGCGGGGUCCUUCUUAUCACUGCUCCACAUCUCACAUCGCCAGCCAAGACUUUUCUUCCCAAGAUGUCUAUUUGGAAAGGAAUUCUCGUUGGGUACUUCUCACACACACCCUGGUGGCUUUGCCAGAUUCUCAAGGGAGCGGCCCCACGGGGUGGCCACCUGCCAUCUGUGGGCUGAGUGUGGAAACUGCAGCCGUGGCCACUGGGGAAUCAGGAUGGCCCGACAAGUGAGCCAGCCGAGCCCCCACCACGCGGUCACUUGAUAGAUAUUUGUGGCGCACCUGCUCUGUGCCAGGCACAGCCCUCGUCACCGAUGGCCCUGCCCUCCUGCGCCUCUCAGUCCAGGCCUCAGUGAAAGCCCCGGGCCUCAGCCUGCUGGGAGCAGACAGCAGGGUGCAGCAGCCAGGGCUGCCCGGGGCAUCCCUGGGCUCUCUUGCCUCAGUUUCUCCUCCGUUCUGCUUCACAGAGCUGUGGGGAUAAGGUCCUGUGUCCUCUGAGCAGUGCCUGCAUGUGUCCUCCGUGCGUGUCCGCUCUGUCUUCUUCCUUCAGUCCGGGCUACUUUCUGGGGCUCUCAGUGAGGCACUGAAAACAUCUAAUCUGCCAGUAAUCCCAUCUGCUGUAUUUUCCUACCAAAGUGGACAAAUAUAAUAACAUCAAAUUAUAUUCACAAAAGAGCAAGUUAUAGGCAAGUACAUAAAGGAGCUCCAUUUCUGUUAAAAUGUUAUACAAACUUGUAAAAGCAGAAGAUUGGAAGCAACCCAAAUCCCCAUUGAUGGGGCACUGAGUGAGUUACCACCAUUCACCAUCAUGAAGGAAUACUAUGCAGCCAUGAACAAGAGCACAAUCUCUGCAGCGAUCACAGAGGCCCCUGUGAGCAGAGUAAGGUGGAGGAGAGCUCACGUGCACAUUAUUGUUUAUCCAAGA
This is a long non-coding RNA of Myotis daubentonii (Daubenton's bat), 2369 nucleotides long. RefSeq lists it as uncharacterized. The record is from RefSeq and is a predicted model, not a curated record. NCBI's taxonomy places the organism in Eukaryota, Metazoa, Chordata, Mammalia, Chiroptera, Vespertilionidae.